UGGGGAAUAUUGCACAAUGGGCGCAAGCCUGAUGCAGCCAUGCCGCGUGUGUGAAGAAGGCCUUCGGGUUGUAAAGCACUUUCAGCGGGGAGGAAGGCGGUGAGGUUAAUAACCUCACCGAUUGACGUUACCCGCAGAAGAAGCACCGGCUAACUCCGUGCCAGCAGCCGCGGUAAUACGGAGGGUGCAAGCGGUAAUCGGAAUUACUGGGCGUAAAGCGCACGCAGGCGGUCUGUCAAGUCGGAUGUGAAAUCCCCGGGCUCAACCUGGGAACUGCAUUCGAAACUGGCAGGCUAGAGUCUUGUAGAGGGGGGUAGAAUUCCAGGUGUAGCGGUGAAAUGCGUAGAGAUCUGGAGGAAUACCGGUGGCGAAGGCGGCCCCCUGGACGGAGACCGACGCUCAGGUGCGAAAGCGUGGGGAGCAAACAGG
Molecule: ribosomal RNA, 429 nt
Filed under: Chloroflexota bacterium
Lineage: Bacteria; Bacillati; Chloroflexota
Description: Chloroflexi bacterium partial 16S ribosomal RNA
Rfam family: Bacterial small subunit ribosomal RNA
Source: RNAcentral